This 553-nucleotide ribosomal RNA is filed under the name Moesziomyces aphidis. RNAcentral describes it as "partial large subunit ribosomal RNA". It matches the Rfam family "Eukaryotic large subunit ribosomal RNA", at positions 121 to 655 of the family's 3401-position model. The record is from RNAcentral. Lineage: Eukaryota; Fungi; Basidiomycota; Ustilaginomycetes; Ustilaginales; Ustilaginaceae.
GCUGGCGUCUUCGGCGUCCGCAUUGUAAUCUCAAGAAGUGUUUUCCGCUUCGGACCAAGCCUAAGUCCCUUGGAAAAGGGCAUCAUAGAGGGUGAUAAUCCCGUACAUGGCUUGGAGCGCCCGAAGCUUUGUGAUACGCUUUCUAAGAGUCGAGUUGUUUGGGAAUGCAGCUCAAAAUGGGUGGUAAAUGCCAUCUAAGGCUAAAUAUUGGGGAGAGACCGAUAGCGAACAAGUACAGUGAUGGAAAGAUGAAAAGAACUUUGAAAAGAGAGUUAAACAGUACGUGAAAUUGCCAAAAGGGAAGGGUAGGAGGUCAGAGAUGCGGCCUGGGAUUCAGCCUUGCUUUUGCUUGGUGUUUUUCCCAGAUUGCAGGCCAACGUCGGUUUUGGGCACUGGAGAAGGGUAGGAGGAACGUGGCACCUCUCGGGGUGUGUUAUAGCCUCCUACUGGAUACAGCGACCGAGACCGAGGACAGCAGCGUACUCGCAAGAGCGGGCCUUCGGGCACCUUUACGCUUAGGGCGUUGGCAUAAUGGCCCUCUACCACCCGUCUU